Molecule: long non-coding RNA, 917 nt
Filed under: Homo sapiens (human)
Lineage: Eukaryota; Metazoa; Chordata; Mammalia; Primates; Hominidae
Description: HSALNT0323343
Source: RNAcentral
CACAUUCCGGGGACAUACAAUCGGCUGAUUUUAUCUUCUCUAACUACAUUUCUGCUUCAGAGGCUUUACUUGGUGGGAAUCAUCUUCCAGACUCCCCAAAGCUGGCUUCUGCCCAACUCACAAACCUCAUCUCACAUGUUGCUCUUUUCCCCUCUUUCACCAGUUCCAGGCACACAGACUUCCUGUCAGUUCUUGGUCAAGCAAGUUCUCGUCCACCUGAGGACCUUGUCCUUGCCUGUUCUUCCGUCUGCCUGGAAGGCUUUCUUCUGUCUUCUGUGCCUGGCUCCUUCCCCACCUUCCGGCCUCACUUGAGAUGUGAUCUUCUCUGACCAUCUUAGCUGAAGUUGGCCUCCUCUCCCUUAAUCUCCAUUGAGCUAAACAGUUUCUUUCAUCUAGAACUUACUAUAGUAAUUAUGUGUUUACUAGUUCACUGUCUGGAAUCGUUUACCCUAGAGCAGUCUACGAUGUAAAGCCAGGAUGGUCAAACUACAGCGCAAGCUUUGUUUUUGCAAAGCUCUGGAGCUUCCCUCUCUGCUGGUCACUCAUUCUUCUCUCUCCUGCUGCCAUAUGAAAAAGGACCCGUUUCCUUCCCCUUCUGCCAUGAUUGGACCUGGGAGUGCGACAUGGUGGCCUCAGGGGAAAAGGGCUCUCGUCUAGACCUUCUGACUGUCCUCUGGAUCUUCCUGGUGUCCAUGCGGGGCUGCUGCUCUGGGCUGGCCCCAGGGCCUUUGGCCAGUGUCCAUGAGACCCGGAAUUCCAGCAACCAGUUUGACAACUCCUACAGAGAAACAGGAUCCACAUAAGGAUACAGCUUCUUCAUAUCCCUGUCCCAUGACUUCACCCUGCGUUCUUCAACCAAUCAAUGUGUCAGGCCUCUGAGCCCAGGCCUGCACGUAUACAUCCAGAUGGCAUGAAGU